This 253-nucleotide ribosomal RNA is filed under the name uncultured bacterium. RNAcentral's name for it is "partial 16S ribosomal RNA". It matches the Rfam family "Bacterial small subunit ribosomal RNA", at positions 524 to 776 of the family's 1533-position model. The record is from RNAcentral.
UACGGAGGGUGCGAGCGUUGUCCGGAAUCACUGGGCGUAAAGGGCGCGUAGGUGGCCCGACAAGUCAACGGUGAAAGCUCGAUGCUCAACAUCGAGUCGGCCGUCGAUACUGUCAGGCUGGAGCACUGUAGAGGCUCAUGGAAUUCCGGGUGUAGCGGUGGAAUGCGUAGAGAUCCGGAAGAACACCGGUGGCGAAGGCGGUGAGCUGGGCAGUAGCUGACACUGAGGCGCGACAGCGUGGGGAGCAAACAGG